Molecule: ribosomal RNA, 446 nt
Filed under: uncultured bacterium
Lineage: Bacteria
Description: bacterial SSU rRNA
Rfam family: Bacterial small subunit ribosomal RNA
Source: RNAcentral
GCCAGACUCCUACGGGAGGCAGCAGUGGGGAAUAUUGGACAAUGGGGGGAACCCUGAUCCAGCGACGCCGCGUGAGUGAAGAAGUAUUUCGGUAUGUAAAGCUCUAUCAGCAGGGAAGAAAAUGACGGUACCUGACUAAGAAGCCCCGGCUAACUACGUGCCAGCAGUCGCGGUAAUACGUAGGGGGCAAGCGUUAUCCGGAUUUACUGGGUGUAAAGGGAGCGUAGACGGCAUGGCAAGUCAGAUGUGAAAGCCCGGGGCUCAACCCCGGGACUGCAUUGGAAACUGUCAGGCUAGAGUGUCGGAGAGGCAAGUGGAAUUCCUAGUGUAGCGGUGAAAUGCGUAGAUAUUAGGAGGAACACCAGUGGCGAAGGCGGCUUGCUGGACGAUGACUGACGUUGAGGCUCGAAAGCGUGGGGAGCAAACAGGAUUAGAUACCCGAGUAU